This is a long non-coding RNA of Eubalaena glacialis (North Atlantic right whale), 743 nucleotides long. RefSeq lists it as uncharacterized. The record is from RefSeq and is a predicted model, not a curated record. The transcript is spliced from 3 exons. Lineage: Eukaryota; Metazoa; Chordata; Mammalia; Artiodactyla; Balaenidae.
CGCUGGCGGCCCGCGCCCCUCUCCUGCGACCUGGUCGCGGGAAAACAAACUAGCACCGCUCCCCGGGCCGAGGCCAUUCCCCCGCCCCCACCGCCGGAAGAGCUGCCCUUCCCCGAUGGGAGGGGGGCGGGAAACUUUGCGAGACGACUGUUCCGCGCCUUUCUCGCGUGGCGUCGGAGAGGAACUUGGGUGGGUUUCCCGUCCGAGGCCUGACCACACCCUCCCACUUUUCUAGGCCUCGGACCUCAACCUCGUGGACUACGGAGCGGAGGGGGACACUUCGGGCCACUCGGAGGGUGGCACCGAAGUCAGGCGUCCCCAAGGGCUCUGGCGGAUGGCCAAGUUUGUGUUCUUUCCAUCCCACGCCGGAGUAGCGCUCGCUACUUUGGGGAAGCUUCAGACUCCUCAACCCCGGCCACGAGGCCACCCCUGUCUUUAAGACCACAUAAGGAACACCAUGAUCCGUGCAUCUGUGCAGCUUGUUCCAGAGUCCCAGCCCUCACCAGCUGUGAGGUCACAUCUCUUGGAAGGCAGUCAUCUACCUCAACCAACAGCUCCGAGAUGCUGGGCAGCGGGACCAUAUCUGCCAUUUGGAGAGCUGCCGCUGGUGCUCUGGGCUCUCCUGCUCCUUCCGGUAGCCAAAGAGAGGAUGCGAUUUUUAAAAAUUCAUAUAUUCAGAGAAAAUGACUACCAAGAGAAUGACAGAUUAUAUUUUCCAAAAGUGACGACAACAAUAUCUCCCA